This 253-nucleotide non-coding RNA is filed under the name uncultured bacterium. RNAcentral describes it as "partial 16S ribosomal RNA". It matches the Rfam family "Bacterial small subunit ribosomal RNA", at positions 524 to 776 of the family's 1533-position model. RNAcentral also lists the same sequence under 3 other names. The record is from RNAcentral.
UACGAAGGGGGCUAGCGUUGUUCGGAAUCACUGGGCGUAAAGCGCACGUAGGCGGACUUUCAAGUCAGGGGUGAAAUCCCGGGGCUCAACCUCGGAACUGCCUUUGAUACUGUUGGUCUCGAGUCCGAUAGAGGUGGGUGGAAUUCCUAGUGUAGAGGUGAAAUUCGUAGAUAUUAGGAAGAACACCGGUGGCGAAGGCGGCCCACUGGAUCGGUACUGACGCUGAGGUGCGAAAGCGUGGGGAGCAAACAGG